CCUACGGGUGGCAGCAGUAGGGAAUAUUGCUCAAUGGGGGAAACCCUGAAGCAGCAACGCCGCGUGGAGGAUGAAGGUUUUAGGAUUGUAAACCUCUUUUGUCGGGGAGCAAAAAGGCCUCGUGAGGCCACAAGUGAGAGUACCCGAAGAAAAAGCAUCGGCUAACUCCGUGCCAGCAGCCGCGGUAAUACGGAGGAUGCGAGCGUUAUCCGGAUUUAUUGGGUUUAAAGGGUGCGUAGGCGGACUGGAAAGUCAGCGGUAAAAUCGAGAGGCUCAACCUCUUUCCGCCGUUGAAACUGGCGGUCUUGAGUGGGCGAGAAGUAUGCGGAAUGCGUGGUGUAGCGGUGAAAUGCAUAGAUAUCACGCAGAACUCCGAUUGCGAAGGCAGCAUACCGGCGCCCGACUGACGCUGAGGCACGAAAGCGUGGGUAUCGAACAGGAUUAGAUACCCUAGUAGUC
This 459-nucleotide ribosomal RNA is filed under the name uncultured bacterium. RNAcentral describes it as "partial 16S ribosomal RNA". It matches the Rfam family "Bacterial small subunit ribosomal RNA", at positions 338 to 795 of the family's 1533-position model. The record is from RNAcentral.